AUCGUUCUGUAUGAGAGCUCUAGUCUCAAUCUUUGGUAUGAUCCGACUGCAAAGUCAGUACACCCCCAAUCACAUGGUCAGAAGAUUUUGAUCAUGGGGUCGAUCAAUUUUCGAGUUAAAGGUCGGGAAGAGCUGUUGUGAGGGGUUUGCCUGCUUUGGCCACCAAUCGCUCUUCAAUGUCUAUGGCUGUUUCGCCUAGUCAUCUAUGAAUGCUCGGUCUUGUUUCGAAGAAAAUGUUAUGGAUGGUGGAUUACCUCCACAAUAAAAGCUUUUUGCUCUAAAAAAAGGAUAUGGAAGUUGAUUAUGGCUGUCAAAUCUGAACUUAGA
Molecule: long non-coding RNA, 327 nt
Filed under: Elaeis guineensis (African oil palm)
Lineage: Eukaryota; Viridiplantae; Streptophyta; Magnoliopsida; Arecales; Arecaceae
Description: long non-coding RNA (EGUI_LNC015911)
Source: RNAcentral